RNAcentral lists this transfer RNA (77 nucleotides) under Cryptosporidium parvum. RNAcentral's name for it is "tRNA-Thr". It matches the Rfam family "tRNA". From Rfam's summary of the family: Transfer RNA (tRNA) molecules are approximately 80 nucleotides in length. Their secondary structure includes four short double-helical elements and three loops (D, anti-codon, and T loops). Further hydrogen bonds mediate the characteristic L-shaped molecular structure. tRNAs have two regions of fundamental functional importance: the anti-codon, which is responsible for specific mRNA codon recognition, and the 3' end, to which the tRNAs corresponding amino acid is attached (by aminoacyl-tRNA synthetases). tRNAs cope with the degeneracy of the genetic code in two manners: having more than one tRNA (with a specific anti-codon) for a particular amino acid; and 'wobble' base-pairing, i.e. permitting non-standard base-pairing at the 3rd anti-codon position. Lineage: Eukaryota; Apicomplexa; Conoidasida; Eucoccidiorida; Cryptosporidiidae. The record is from RNAcentral.
GCCUUCGUAGCAUAGUCUUGGUUAUUGCGUCGGUCUUGUAAACCGAAGGUCACGAGUUCGAAUCUCGUCGAAGGCUC